RNAcentral lists this ribosomal RNA (484 nucleotides) under uncultured bacterium. RNAcentral's name for it is "partial 16S ribosomal RNA". It matches the Rfam family "Bacterial small subunit ribosomal RNA", at positions 30 to 507 of the family's 1533-position model. The record is from RNAcentral.
AUUGAACGCUGGCGGCAGGCCUAACACAUGCAAGUCGAGCGGAUGAAGGGAGCUUGCUCCUGGAUUCAGCGGCGGACGGGUGAGUAAUGCCUAGGAAUCUGCCUGGUAGUGGGGGAUAACGUCCGGAAACGGGCGCUAAUACCGCAUACGUCCUGAGGGAGAAAGGGGGGGAUCUUCGGACCUCACGCUAUCAGAUGACCCUAGGUCGGAUUAGCUAGUUGGUGGGGUAAAGGCCUACCAAGGCGACGAUCCGUAACUGGUCUGAGAGGAUGAUCAGUCACACUGGAACUGAGACACGGUCCAGACUCCUACGGGAGGCAGCAGUGGGGAAUAUUGGACAAUGGGCGAAAGCCUGAUCCAGCCAUGCCGCGUGUGUGAAGAAGGUCUUCGGAUUGUAAAGCACUUUAAGUUGGGAGGAAGGGCAGUAAGUUAAUACCUUGCUGUUUUGACGUUACCAACAGAAUAAGCACCGGCUAACUUCGUG